CAGUCUCACUCUGAUGCUGUUGCCUGUUUCGCCUAUGUACAUAACCCCUCUGUCUGAGGGCGGUGAAGAGGGUGCUUGUGGCCUGGUUGAAAUCCUCCUCCCUAGUACAUAUACGGUGGAAGCGGGUCAGUUGUGACUUAACGAUACCCCUGAAGGCUUUCCACAUCCAUGGUGAA
Long non-coding RNA from Amblyraja radiata (thorny skate), 176 nucleotides. RefSeq lists it as uncharacterized. The record is from RefSeq and is a predicted model, not a curated record. NCBI's taxonomy places the organism in Eukaryota, Metazoa, Chordata, Chondrichthyes, Rajiformes, Rajidae. The transcript is spliced from 3 exons.